GACGAACGCUGGCGGCGUGCCUAACACAUGCAAGUCGAACGAGAUCCAUGGGAGCUUGCUCCCGGAAGAUCUAGUGGCGAACGGGUGAGUAACACGUGAGAAACCUGCCCUGGAGUGGGGAAUAACUCGGGGAAACUCGAGCUAAUACCGCAUACCCUCGGAUGGUCGCAUGGCCGACCGAGGAAAGAUUUAUCGCUCUAGGAGGGUCUCGCGGCCUAUCAGCUAGUUGGUGGGGUAACGCCUACCAAGGCAACGACGGGUAGCUGGUUUGAGAGAACGAUCAGCCACACUGGGACUGAGACACGGCCCAGACUCCUACGGGAGGCAGCAGUGGGGAAUCUUGCGCAAUGGGCGAAAGCCUGACGCAGCAACGCCGCGUGCGGGAUGAACGGCCUUCGUGGUUGUAAACCGCUUUC
RNAcentral lists this ribosomal RNA (416 nucleotides) under uncultured bacterium. RNAcentral's name for it is "bacterial SSU rRNA". It matches the Rfam family "Bacterial small subunit ribosomal RNA", at positions 28 to 437 of the family's 1533-position model. The record is from RNAcentral.